AAUUCUCUAGGUUCUCUUCUUAUUUCGGUGUGUCAUGUAUUUCCUUCUCGCACCAUGGAAUUUAAAUUCAAAUCUAAAUUAUCUCGGGUAUUCAAAUUUUUGUUAUAGAUGAAAUUUGAGGGAUUUGAAGCUUUGGUUUAUGUAACAGGUCAAGAAAGAAGGAAGACUUUAUGGGAAUUCCCCAGUUUGUGCUAGCUUCUCUGUCUAUACACGCAACUUGGAGUGAAAUUUAAUUUUAAUUUCUUUGUGUUACAAUACAGCAGUUCUGCCAUCAAGGAUCAAACCCAGGAGGAUAGGUUGUUGCUCCCUGCCGAAUUGUCCAUUUAUUUGGGUUCUAAGAGACUACUGUGAAGGGAUACAGGAAGAAGGCUAACGCAAGCAUUGAAGACAAUGUGGCCUCAUUGACGUUGAUGCAUGCAUAAUAGUUUGGAAUGCAGAGAGACAAAUUUGGAACAUAGAACAAAGGUCAAAAGGACGAAUUUAGUAGGUACGCUUUAAAACAAGAAAUGAAAAUUCGCCUUCCGCACAUGCGUAUGUGUGUGC
Rosa chinensis is the source of this 543-nucleotide long non-coding RNA. RefSeq lists it as uncharacterized. Lineage: Eukaryota; Viridiplantae; Streptophyta; Magnoliopsida; Rosales; Rosaceae. The record is from RefSeq and is a predicted model, not a curated record. The transcript is spliced from 3 exons.